UGUCAACCUCCUGCAUGUUGAUCUUCCCCCGCAUCCCGUGCCAGGUUGAUAAGCCUUCUAGAGGGUUCCUGGUGCUGCUGGCACUCCCAGAAGUCUUUCCAGGGACUAAAAAUAACAUGGGGUGGAAACAGCUCUAAAUAACUAGGGAAUGUGCCAGUCACUCAGAGGGGAGCGGAAACACUGCCCAUACAAGGCAGCUGGGGAUAUAGAUAGAUACACCAGCCAACCUGAACUCAUCCUCUUGCGUCAGCACCCAGAGUUCUCCUCCUCUGUGAGAGAUGUGCAAUCCAGAACCUUCUCGUACUUCCGAUGCUCCAAUAAGUAUUAUGCAGGGAAAGCUCAUGGGGGGCUCUGGUGACAAGAGAUGCCAGCCUCCCACCGUAGAGAUUCCCAUGUCCCAAUUUCUCCCUGCUCCCUUGAGAAGACGAUAGAUGGUCUAUUAUAAGGAGGCUGGGAGACACAGCUGAGAGCCCAGGGUGCCAGGAUGGUUCAGAGGACAUUUAGGAUACAGUCUGGACCAGAUAACUCGGGAGGUGCCUUCCAGAAUUGAAGUUCUGAAAUGUUGUUGUAGUAGAACGCUGCCCAAUCCCUGCAAACUCAUGAUCCGUACCACUUCGUUGGAGCUUCCCAGGAAUGAAGUUAGAAAGUUCCUGAUAGUACUUCGAAACAUGUACCAUGGGACCUCUUUACUGUUGAGAAGCUGAACAGGAUUCAGAGUGAGGUUUUCACAUUAUACAGAGCUAGCCUUGACCUCUGGCCAUUAACAACCACAUCAGGGACAUAGGAAUGGACAUGUGUACUCCAAAAGCAACCUCAUGCCCUGCUUUGUCCUGCCCAGAGCAGGGAAUCAAGAAUAUGAAAAUACCGACUCCCAUUCCUUUUUGUCUGUUUCAUUGGGCUCCAAGGGUAAGUGUGACCAAGACUGGGACAAUCCUUUUGGUCAUCUUCUCUUCACAUAGCAGGGAUGGUGCCCUAAACUCAAUGGAACUUGGUUCACUGACCUCAAUGUCCUGUCAGGGAUUCAUCCUUCUGUAGUUUCACUUCGUGACAUGUCUAGGGUCAAUUUUUAUUCUCAAAUUUAGCCUCUUGGGAAAAUGAGGUCUAUAGAAAUUCAAAGCUUAGAGAAUGAAAGUCUUGGACUAACUUCCUCUUAGUUCUCAGGGAGGGAUCCUUGAGAGACAGUAUGUAGGGAUGGAGCAAUAUAUCUGAGCAACACCUCUCUGCCAUUUUCCUAAGUUUAGAGGGGUUGAUCAGUUUCAGUGACAAUCAUUUAACCUGAAAAUAUACUUUCAGUCUGACUUCCAAGAGCUUCUCUACCCAUCCCCUAUCAUUUACCAUUCCUAGGCUCUUCUUUGGCCCCAUCAUUGUCUCUGCUAUUUCCUACCUGUGUAAUCUUGAGCAGGCCUCAUUCCUUCUCUGAGAGGGGAUGUUUUCCCAUUUGUAAAAUCUGAGAUAUUUUCUUUUAACUCUCUUUGGCCACAAGGAGCCUCAACUUUCCUUUUUCCUUUUCCCUGCCUACUUAUAUCUUUUGUUAAAUCUUUCUCAAAGGCAGAGGUAAGAAUCAGAUCACAGAUUCACAAAUGUCAGAGUUGUAAGAUAAUUCAGAAGCCAUCUCAUCCAAUUCAUGAUCAGCUUAAAAGAAGGAAUUGUUUUUAUUUUUAAAA
Molecule: long non-coding RNA, 1664 nt
Organism: Monodelphis domestica (gray short-tailed opossum)
Lineage: Eukaryota; Metazoa; Chordata; Mammalia; Didelphimorphia; Didelphidae
Source: RefSeq, a predicted model, not a curated record